UCACCGCCCCCGGAGGGCACAGAAAGAUGAAAGGCAAACAAUUUGUCUUCAGAGUCUCCAGAAUUAUGAGUAGCAAGAGAUCCACGCACAGAGGAAGUUCUACGCACACUCAACUAAAGAAAACAUCACAAAAACGUUUUUCUCAGUGACACAAUUAUUAUCUGGAACAAGUCAUUUUUCAGGCAACAUAACAUCUGCACAGUAUAAUCAGUAAGUGACUUCUUGGGGAUCCCCUCCAUGUCCUACCACAUCUCUCCUUCCAGCCAAAUCUCCUUCUCCAGCCUCUCUUCUUUCACCCUAACAUCCCACUGCUGCCAGUAUGCCCUACAGUUAUUCAAAGGCUCCUUGGUGUACUAUGAAAAAGUGGGAAGAGAUUUCAAAAAAAUGUUUCAAGGCUACUUCUGCAGUCAGUGUUUGUCACCUGAGAAAGUAAGUAUCUCCUACAUUUUUGAUGUUUAAAUAUACUUGAUAUAAAAGGUGUAAUAAUCAUGAAUAACAAAAUGAUAGGUAAACAGAUAAUAAGAUAAUAAGCAAGAGUAGAUAGAUAACAAAGAAAAGUUCCCUGUAAAACUAACAUUUGUUGUUAGACUCUGCAGUGUGAGAUGGA
Molecule: long non-coding RNA, 607 nt
Organism: Myiozetetes cayanensis
Lineage: Eukaryota; Metazoa; Chordata; Aves; Passeriformes; Tyrannidae
Exons: 4
Source: RefSeq, a predicted model, not a curated record